AUGAACCUCAUGAGAGUUUUUCUCUUUUACAAACAAAAAAUACAACCAUUUAUGGACUUCAUGGUCAAUGUUAGUUUUUGCACGUGGCAAGAUAGUGCACUUCCGGAAAGAAAAAGACAGGGGGGCGGUGAACAAGUGAACGACACACAUUUAAAAAAUGAACAACUUUUAAUAUUUUUGCAGCCAACAUAUUUUGUAUAUGCAUAUUUUAUGCACAAAGUUUUCACGACCGAACUGCUCUGUCACCCCUGCACGCACUGCAUGAAGACAACAAACGAUGCAAAAGGCUGUACAUACAGGAACCGACUAACUGCAGAAACUCUUUUCCUAAAGGGAUACAGUAAUGCAAGUUUGCAACGCUCUUACUACUGA
This 372-nucleotide ribosomal RNA is filed under the name Triticum aestivum (bread wheat). RNAcentral describes it as "partial small subunit ribosomal RNA". The record is from RNAcentral. Lineage: Eukaryota; Viridiplantae; Streptophyta; Magnoliopsida; Poales; Poaceae.